AGAGGACUAUCAGUUAGGUGGGAAAGAAAGUACAACUCAGGUCUGAAUGUAAAGAUAUAUGUGGAAUAAUUAAUAAUUAUCUGGCCUUAGACAUAUAGACAGAAAGUGUACAGUCUGGAAGGAAACUGGAGACAAUAAGGGAAGAAUCAAUAGGCAAUAAGGGCAUGUUCAAGAGUAGGAAUAUACAGCAGUAAACAAGAAGGAAUACUGGUACAGAGAAAGGGACAUAGAGUCUAUAAAAAUAAUGUAUAUGUCAUGCAAGAACAUAGAGACUAAGUAUCAUAAUGCUAGAUGAUCUAGGUUUGAACAUAGAAGUAGACAGUAGGGUGGAAAAGAAGAGAAUAGGAGAUUACUGGUAAUGGAAUGAAGAGUAGUGUUUAACAUUCUGUUGACAGUGGAGUAAAUAGAGACAGAAGACGAAAUGAAAAGUACCUGUCAAGUAUAGGGGCAUGCUUAAGAGUACAUCAUACAGGGUAUUUCCAUAAGAGUGUGCAAAAAUGUAACAGGACAUAGAGAAUGCUCCAUUGAACAAUUUGAGGUAGGAAACCUGGGCUUGGGGAAGCCAGCUUAAGGAGAUAUGGAAAUGAACUUGUCUACUGAUUUGUCUAGCUUUACUGUUUUUCAGCUUAUUUAAAACUAACGUGUGUAAAAGUUUACAUGUACUGUGCUGUUUAUUUACAUGUACAUUACCUAUUUCCUGCAAGGAAAACAAGGAAUUGCCAUAAUUGUAGGUGCCUAUUAUAUUUUUCAGGGUGCAUCAGAAUCUUGAUUGCAUUGAGGUUGAUGGCAGUCAGUUUCACCACAUUUUGUAAGAUGGUUCAUUCAUUGUGUCAGUGAUGGUAUUUCCAGUUAACUGGAACUAAUGUAAAUAAAAAAGUACACAUUAAUGUGAUUUUAUUCCUGUUAUCUUCUUGAGCUGCAUUCUCAAAUCCCAGGCUCCCUACUUAAGAUUGUUCAGAGGAGCAUUCUCAAUGUCCUGUUAAAUUUUUGCACACUCUGAUGGAAACACCCUUUAUAAGAGUGGGGAAAUUGAAAUGUAUCAAACAAGAGCCCUCUCGUGGUAUAGAAUGUUUGAAGAUCUCAUAGUACAAGAUAAUCCAUGUGUUAUAAAUUGGGAGAGACAUUAACAAAAGGGAUAGGGCUUGGUUUUGUGAAGCAAAGUAUCAGUCUAAAGCUGAACUGAAGCAGAAGGGUAAAAAUAUAUGAAUUUAAGGAAGAAGACAUAUACUGUACUGGUAUAUAACAAGAAUAUAAUUAUUAGAAACAAGAAUUAAGAGAAAGAAGUGUCAGCAGAGAGGUACAUAAAAGGGAUUAAGGUGAAAGAAGAAGAAAUAAAUAGAGGAUAAUUUUAUGCAGGUUAAAAGUAUUUUCAAAGAAAAAGGGUCAACAAUUUGACUAAAAAUAAGAUAGAUUUAAAAACAAAUGCAUUAAUUGAGGUUGGUUUAGGGAUAGGCACAUAGAUAUACAGAUAACUGAAACAGAGGAGAACUGUAGACAAGAAGGGAAAGCUCAAUCUGGGAAUAGAAUAAAUUCAAGUACAAGAAUGUCUGAUAAUAAAACAGAAGGCAUGCAUUGAAGAAGAAAAUGAAGAUAACGUGCAGGGUGGUAGUGGAAGUGUGUGUGUGUGUGUGUGUGUGUGUGUGUGUGGGGGGGGGGGGGGGGUAGGAGAAUUCUAAAACUUUCAUAAAUAACUUAAAGCAUUUAUUAAUGACUCUGUCAAUAGUUGUAGUACUUAUAUUAGGUGACUAAUUUCAAAUCUUAAGGUUCAUUUUCAAGCAUAGCGUAUUGAGGCUGCAAAGACAGUGCCUGAUCUUAAUAAUAAACAUCAAUGUGGCAACAUAUGCUUUAUGAAUGUUAGCAGAAUGAGUCUCACAAUCACACUUACCUCUUACCAAGUCAAAAGUGACUUGGUAGGAGGCAUGUUGCUGAUUACCUGUCAACAAAAUGCUGAAACUGAAAAACUGCAUAAAUGAGUUUCAUGUUUUGAGACCUGUCAUGCUAUAAGAAAUAAAUUUUAUUGAUGGCACUAAAAAAUUUAUCUCAGAAAAUUAUUGUUUAUGUGUCAAAUUUAAGAAUAAAAAUUCUGGACUUCAUAUUGCAGCAAAGGUGAAAUAGCUAUGGCCAUAUUGCAGGUGGGUCAAGAUUUCAGAACUGAAAACACACAUGCAUGGAAAAAAUGAUAAGAGCAAACAGGAAUUAAGAAUCUGUCAAAUGAUUAAGUCAUGCCCAAUGGUAAUAAAUAAGUAAUAUUACAGCAGAAGACACACAUUAAACAAGAAAUUGUAGAUUAUAUAUGUGUGUAUGGGAGAAUCCUGGGGAUAGAAAGUGGUAGAAUAAAGGACUAAAAGAUAAGAAAAGCAAUGUGGAGAGGAGUGAAAUCUGGUUGAAUGAGAUUGGACCAUUUUGACCCAUAGAAGAAGAAACUUGUUGAACAAAAACAUUAUUGUCACAUGCCAUAAUGAAGUAUGAUCUAGAUUUGGAUAAAAGAUUAGACAGAAAGUUGGAAAAGAAGUCAGUAGGAAACAAGAAUAAAAUAGUAUGCCUAAGGACAGGUACAUAUUUUCAAGUUCAACACCAUUCAAAAAUGGUCAAAUAACAUAGUAAACAUGAACCCUGUUUAUUUUCAAUCCUCUGCCAACAUAUCUGCUCAUUUAUCCCUACUUCUCUCCUUUUUUGUUGCCUUUUCCCCAAACUCCCUGUCCUAAAACCUCCUGACACAGUGCAUGUCAGCCAUCUAGUCCAUUCCUUCCCCACCCCCUCCAGAUGGCUACUUGCAUCCCACGUGCAAUGUAUCUUUUCCUACAUUGUUGAUGUUACUACCUGGAGUUUCCACUGUUUCAUUUUAGCUGAAUACAUACUUCAUACAAGAAAUUAGAGAUCAUAUGUCUGUAUAUGGGAGAAUCAUAAUGUUAGCAGGAUAAACAUAGAGGGAUAAACGAGAAGAGAAUAUUCUUUCAUAGGACAAGUGCAUGCACAUGGAAAUGGCAGUAACCAUUUUACAUAAAAAGAAAUUAUGUAUCAUGCAGGAAUAUAAAGAUCACAUGCCAGAAUACCAGGUGAUCAAGAUCUGUAUAUGGAAAUAGACAGAAUGAUGGAAAAAGACGUGAAUAGAAGACAAGAGAAGAAGAAUCUGUGAAGGAUAAGGGCAUGCUCAAGAGUAAUAACAAAUGGCAAUAAACGAGAAGAGAUAUUAGUACACAGAAAGAAAACUCAAAGACUGGAUGACUUACACAAGAUUAUCAAGAUUUUAGGACAGAUAGAGUGAGUGAAUGAGUGAGGAGUGUGUGUGUGUGUGUGUGUGUGUGUGUGUGUGUGUGUGAGAGAGAGAGAGAGAGAGAGAGAGAGAGAGAGAGAGAGACAGACAGACAGACAGACAGACAGACAGGCAGAAAGAGUGAGGGCUGGGAGGGGGAGAGUGUAUAGGAGGAGCUAGGAAUGGAGUAUCUGUCAAAUGACAAGUGCAUUCUCAAAGGUAAGAAUCAAAGGUAUUACAGCUGAAGACAUACUUCAUACAAGAAUGUAGAGAGUAUAUGUCUGUAUAUGGGAGAAUCCUAGUGAUAGCAAGAUAGAGACAGAGGGAUAACAGAGAAGAUAGAAAAAGAAAAUAUUCUUUCAAAAGACAAAUGCAUGCUCAAAGAAACAGCAGAACCAUUUUACAUAAAAAGAAAUUAUGUAUCAUGCAGGAACAUAGAGGGCACAUGCCAUAAAGCUAGAGGAUCAAGAUUUGCACACAGAAAUAGACAGAAACGUGAAAAGGCCCACUUGAUUAGCUGUGGGGCCUAACGCACUGCUUUCCAGGCAGGAAGGCAUGCCGAUGCCUGGGAAGAAUCCGCCUGGUGGAUUAGUGUCGAGGUCAGGUGUGCCAGCCAGUCUGUGGAUGGUUUUAAGAUGGUUUUCCAUUUGCCUCAGCGAAUGUGGGCUGGUUCCCCUUAUUCCGCCUCAGUUACACUAUGUCGGCGAUUAGUGCACAAACACUUUCUCCAUGUACGCAUACACCAUAAUUACUCCACCAAGCAAACUUUGGGGUUACACUCGUCUGGUGUGAGACCUUCCUUGGGCGGGGGGGUUGGGGGGGGGGUCACUGGGGGCAGAACAGCACAAUAACCCUGUGUUCAGUGUGGCGCAGCAGUGGGGUGAGGGGUGAGUGCACUGCUUAAGCCUGUUGUGGGGUGUGUACACCACUGUGGGCUAUAGCAGGGAUGAAACCUCUCCAUCGUUUCUAGGUCCCCAGUUCCAUACAAUAAACUACAAGGUGAAAGAGCAGAUAACGGUGACAAGAGAAGUAGAAUCUGUGAAGGAUAAGGGUAGGUUAAAGAGUAAACCAUGUAGCAACAGAGAAGUUGAAAUGCAUCAAACAAGGACACAAAGAUUACAUAGUGUAGUAAAGGAAGGUUAAAAGUAUAAGGAAAAUGGUAGAGAGGCAGCUUAUCAAAAGGGGAGGAAAUGGGAGCCAAUAAGAGAAGAUUCAGUACGGGGCAAGAGCAUGCUCAAAGUAGCAAUAUAUCACAAUCAAAGAGAAGGCAUACUGGUAUAUAGAAGGACUAGAAGGCAUAUAUAAAUUUUAGGUCAGACAGAAAAGGGAUAGAGAGAGAGAGAGAGAGAGAGAGAGAGAGAGAGAGUGCUAGGGAGGGGGGCGAAAGAGAAAGAUAGAGAGAGAAUGGGGGACUGGUGAAAAUGCAAAGAAGAGGGAACAGAUAAGAAGUAUUUGUCAAAUGAUAAGUGGAUUCUCAAUGGUAAGAAUAGCUUGCAUCACAGCUGUAGGCAUAAAUCAUACACGAAAGUUGGGCGAAACCUAGGGUUAGCUAGAUAGACAUAGAGGUGUAAAAGGGAAGAGAGAAGAGAGAAAAUUCUGUCAAGAGGGAAGUGCAUGCUCAAGGAAAUGGAAGUAACCAUUUUAAAUGAAAAGAAAUUAAUUACCAUGCAAGAAUGUAGAUCACAUGCCAUAAUACUAGGUGAACAAGAUCUGUACAUGUAAAUAGUCAGAAUCGUGGAAAAGACAUGAAUAGAAGACAAGAGGAGAAGAAUCUGUGAAGGAUAAGGGCAUGCUCAAAAGUAAUAGCAAAUGGUAAUAAAAGAUAUCAGAUAUUAGUGCACAGAAAGAGAACUCAAAGACUGGAUGACUUACGAAAGAUUAUCAAGAUUUUAGGACAGAUAGAGUGAGUGAAUGAGAGAGGAGAGAGAGAGAGAGAGAGAGAGAGAGAGAGAGAGAGAGAGAGAGUAUGUGAGCUAGGAAUGGUGUAUCUGUCAAAUGAUAAGUUCAUUCUCAAGGGUAAUAAUAAAAGGUAUUACAGCUGAAGACAUAGUUUGUACAGGAAAGUAGAGAUUAUAUGUCUGUAUAUGAUAGAAUCCUAGUGUUAGCAAGGUAAAGACAGAGGGAUAACAGAGAAGAUAGAAAAAGACAAAUGUAUUCUCAAGGAAAAGGCAGGACCAUUUUACAUAAAAGGAAGUAAUGUAACAUGCAAGAACAAAGAGAUCACAUGCCAUAAUGCUAGAGGAUCAAGAUCUGCAUACAGAAAUACACAGAAAGGUGAAAGACCCCCCCUGGUAAGCCAUGGGGAGAGGAAGUAAUGCCGGUCCCUGGGACAAAUCUGGCUGGUGGAUUAGUGUCAAGGUCAGGUGUGCCAGCCAGUGUGUGGAUGGUUUUUAAGGUGGUUUUCCAUCUGCUUCAGCGAAUGUGUUCGGGAUCCCCUUAUUCUACAUCAGUUACACUAUGUUGGUGAUUACUGCGCAAACACUUUGUCCAUCUAUGCAUACACCAUAAUUACUCAACCAUGCAAACACUGGGGUUACACUCGUAUGGUGCGACACGUUUAAGAGGGGGUCCACUGGUUGCCGUACUCGAUAAUAACCCUAGGAUCGGGGUGGGGCGGUAGUGGAGUGAGGGGUGAGUGGACUGCUGUAGCCUGUUGUGGGUUUGUGUACCACUGUGGGAUACCGUGGGGAUGAAUCCUCUCCAUUGUUUCUAUGUCCCCAGUUCCAUACAACACAAUACAAGGUGAAAGAGCAGAUAAUGGUGACAAGAGAAGUAGAAUCUGUGAAGUAUAAGGGUAGGUUCAAGAGUAAACCAAGUAGAAGCAGUGAAAUUGAAAUGCAUCAAACAAGGAGAGAGAGAGAGAGGGGGGGAGAGAGAGAGAUAGAUAGAUAGAUAGAGAGAGAGAGAGAGAGAGAGAGAGAGAGAGAGAGAGAGAGAGAGAAAGUGGGAGAGAGAGAGAGAGGGAGUGAGAGUGUUAGGAAGGGGGUGAAAGAGAAACAUAGAGAGAGAUUGAGGGGGGGGGGGGGGAAAUGCAAAAAGAGAGAACAGAAAUGAAGUAUUUGUUAAAUGAUAAGUGGAUUCUCAAUGGUAAGAAUAACUUGCAUCGCAGCUGUAGGCAUAAAUCAUACACGAAAGUUGGGAGAAACCUAGGGUUAGCUAGAUAGAGAUAGAGGUGUAAAA
Schistocerca cancellata (South American locust) is the source of this 6433-nucleotide long non-coding RNA. RefSeq lists it as uncharacterized. The transcript is spliced from 4 exons. Lineage: Eukaryota; Metazoa; Arthropoda; Insecta; Orthoptera; Acrididae. The record is from RefSeq and is a predicted model, not a curated record.